GCAUGAAACACAAGAAUGUUUGGAAUUGCCAAGAGAUGUCCUGGCUGGAUGGCGUGAUAGAAGUGCGAGAGAAGGAGGACACCGGAGCCGGAGCUGAUGCUGACGGAGGACUCCCAGCCUGCAAUGACAGACCUGUGGUCAGUGUUCAGGUAAGAGCCAAGGGGAUUGUGUGCACUGUCUCCUGAAUGGUGACAGGGAGAAACCCUAGAAAUGUCUGCUGCUUCCCGCUGCUCAACGAGUAACACAUAUUAGAUCCUUCUAAGCCUUGGCAAAACAAAUCAAAUAUCACUAUUUUUUUCUUAUCUGUGGAUAAAAGUGUAAGAAAUGUCUAAGGCUAUGGAACACCACUACUAAUCUCUUGCAGGUCCAGUGGCCGUUUAUUUUCUAAGCAUCUAAAUUGAGUUAGUUCAUAUAUAAGUCAAAAAACGAAGUACUAGAAGGUAUCAUACAAAUGCCAAAGAAAUAUGAGGCUCCAGGCCUGCUGGCACUGGCUUCCCUAGCACUCUCUCCUAGUUCCCAAGAUCAACAAGGCUGGUAGAUUUAAGAGCUCUCUCCCACCUCACAACCUCAUACAUAGUGCCAGAUGCUCCCUGAGUUCCACAAAACCUCACUGCCCUGCCACAGCUCUUCACACAAAAGGGAGUCCAGACCACGUCACCAUGGGGGACACCAAUCCAUAGCUCAACCAGGGGCUGAGGUAGAGCACAGAAUGCUCCCAACAGAUCUAAUCUUGAAACUGUAAAUUAAGAAAAAUAAUCAAGAAAAUUUAGAUUUGAAAGAAAGUACAGCAAGAGGUCAUGGGAUAGAACAGAGUCUCUGGGGUGGUGAAUAGUCAAACUUAGAGAAAAAAAUCUAGGAAGGAGAGGAAGCACUGCAGUGAGGAGAGAAAUGGACAGAGAGAAAUAGGGACAGUGAGUGGCACUGAGCUGAGGAUGCACCACCACCGCUAGAGGGCCCCAGACUCCCACGCCAGCCUCGGAUUCCCCAGGCUCCACAGCCCCACAGACCUAUGCGUAUUCAUAAAAAAGCAUUCUUCCCUCCUUAAGACAGUAAGCCUGAGUAAGAAUCUGCUCCAUGCAACCCCAACAGCCCCAGGAAAACAGUGCCACGAGUCUGUUAUCACCAGAAAGGCCAUAUCACCACCCACCUUCUGCAGGCCCACCUGCAUGGCCCUUGGCCCUAACUCCUUGAUACAAAGGAGCUCCACCCUGGCCCACCAUUCCCUGGCUGAGGCCUAGUCCCCACUCUUUCUAAGUACCAUCCCCAAGGGUGCACUCUCAUCCUGGAACUCCACCUUUGGGACCCCCGACCCUUGGUCAACCACCAGAACAGAUAAGGCCAUUGCCUGGAAACUCCUCCUCCCCCUACCCCUCACAGCAAAUGAAGCAGCCUGGAGAGAGCCAGGAUGGCACUCGGAUUAAGGCACCCAUCGCAUGGCUGCUCCCACUCCCAGUGCAGAGAUUCAACAGCACUUUAAUGCAAGUCCACCUGAAGAAACAAGAUCCAAGAAGCUCUCAUCAGCAUGCUUCAUGUGUACACUGAGAUCACGCUGUGCCACUCCAUGAGCACAUCUUCGAAUUCACCAAAGAAUCUACAUUUAUUUUCUAACUGAAUGUGCAUAUGGGCAUGAGGUACACGGUCUUUAAAAGCAUUAGAGGUCAAAGUUCUUAGGAAUCUUAAGUUUACUUGGACACAUGAAAAUAGCAUCCUUGAAAUAACCCUCCCAUCACUACCUUUGUCAAUAUUCUUCCUGAAACAAAAUGAAAGACAUCUAGGGAUGCCUGUGGACACUAUGCUGUGACAUCCCUUGCAUCUUCUAGGCCUGACUGCAUAAGCCAUUGUCCUUUUUCUCCAACUGCCUUAGACACUGUCCCCUCUCCAGCAUCCUCCUCUCGGGGCACCCAUCACUGGCUCCACCUGCCCCAGAGACAAGCACUCAAGGCCUUUUAGUACAAUGGGCUUUACUGUUUAUACCACAGGGGAGCAGAUUGAGAGGGUAUCCAUGCUAAGGUCCCCAAACUCCUACAGUCCCCCUGUUCUCUGACAUUUAGUCCUAACACUAUUCUGGGACUGAAAGCCUUCCUGUACUUAUUGCUCUCUUCUUUUAUUUCUGAGGAUGACCAGCUCUGUUCAACACACAUAGGCAAGGCUAAAAUGUGUCAUGAAGACCAAAGCCUGAUCACGGUGUAUUGCAGAGAAGUAAGCGUCUUCAUCACCUGUCCCCAGGUAGACUUUGAGGAAGAAAUACCCAGCAAUAUCCACAUGCUUGCCCCUCAUUGCUAUGAGGUCACUUCUUCCUCUGUGUUGCUGGGUCAAGCAUACUCCCUGGAACUGAUGAGGCAUUGAAGGAAGCCCCCUUCCUUCAAGGGAUGGCAGCAGAGGAAAGUACCUAGUCACCCUCCUCCCUUUUAUCUUAGUAAGAGCAUGGUCCUCUUGGAACCACGUGUACUUUCCUGUAUUCUGAAGGGAAGGCAAACCCUGUUGGGAGGAGGUAAGGUCUUAUCUGGAAAAUCGUGCCCAAUCAAGGUCAGUGUCCUGGGUCCGGGAGGCAGGUUUCUGAUGGGAAAUUAAAGUUCUGAACUCCAGUACUAAACUACAAGUAAUCCAAGUCAAAAAGUGUACUCUGGGGUAACGAUUCCAUCCUUGCAUGCCCAUGAUGAGGAGCAAGGCCUGAAGGUAGGAGGGCAGAGCCUCGUAACAAAACAAAGCCUGGAUCAAGGAAGCAGCCACACCAGGCACACACACACGUCAGGACAUGUGUUCACUUCCCUGUGUGGUUCCCCAUGUGUGUGCACUUGUAGCAGAUGUCAAGGCCAGCAUGACAGUGACAGCGGACCCAAGGAGGAAGGGAGUUCUGGCAGGGCUGGGGAGAUUCUGCCCUGCUCAGUUUUACUUAGGAAAUAGGAAACAGCGUUGGCAUCCUCUGCCUACAUUUCUGCUCUCAUUUCACCAUUUCCAAUCUUAUGAAAACAUUACAGGAUACUCUCAGCAGGUAUGUCCGAUCCUCAUCAAGCCUCCCAAUGACAGAGAAAGAGUCUCUCUUCUUAUUAGAUCACAGAAUUUAAAGAAAAAUUUUAAAAUCUACUUAUUGUUAUUUUACAUAAAUAUAAACUUCAACAAAUGCUAACUCUUCCAAUAAAAGCAAGAAAACCAGUGAGAUCUGUGGGGUCUUCACAGCUCCCAGAAGAGGCUCCUUCUGUCACGAUCUAAAGGACAGCAAACAUUUCAAAGGUCAGAACCAAUCCAUAGGCAGAAUGGUCAAGAAAAUAAUUUUAAAGAGCUUUAUUUGUUGCUGCUAUAGACCUGAGAGAAAUCUAUCAACCAACAAAGACCUAAAAGACUGGCCUGAUCAACAACAAAAUGAAGCUGACAGCUUCAAAUAAUGGUUCCAUGGUCAGAUUCUGGAAGCCAGUGUAAUCAAAGGCCAGCAAUCCCCUCUUAGGAGCUCUGCAGGACAGAACCUUACUAGAUGGGACAGGACCUCACUAGAUGGGACAGGACCAGCCGUCCUGCUCUUUCUGAAAGCAGCAGGCAGUGUGGCACGUGUGAGCCGGGGGCAGUACUAGCUCCAGAGAACACCUACACUCUCCUCUCCAUAGGAUCAGACCACACACGACUCGACAAUUACUAAUAAAAGUGCAAAUGUUCAUCAUGCAAAAAUCCAAAUGUGUCAAGAAAACUUAGGCCCUCUGUUCCUGAAGUUCUUUGCGGGUUGCCAAAUGACAGACUCUCCAGUCAUGAAAAGGAAUAUAAAGCAAUCUCACUACAAAAAAAAAAAUUCUUGUAAAAAUCCUCCCUUCUUCAGAUGUUGUAAUUAAUUAUGCCAAAACAAACCUCUGGAUUUCUAUCCAAGCCUAAAUCCCAGUUUAUUUUAUUUCUUAGAAAUGAUAAAUACUUUUUGACAAUUUGUUUUGCUACAUCCAAGUCUUUUAGUGGCUGGCUUUGUUAUCAAAUUCACCAUUUUAAAUGAUUUUAACAAGGUUGCCAAAGAACAUACGGGGAAAAAAAACUUUUCCAUAUAUCCUUGGCAGAAACUGGCAUUCCCCUUUUCUCAGUUCCCUUCUGAGAGUGCCUGCUGUCGCUGGAGCAGCUAUAGCAGUGUGUUUACCCAGUUGAUAGUGCACACAUCCUUCUCACUGCAGGACACCAGCGCACCUUCCUUGGCCUCUGGCGCCUUCUGCCAGGUUACUGCCCAGCCUCCUCUAUUACCCACGCCCCUCAUUUUCUGUGCAACCCCCAACUGGGCCUCCUUUUCACUCAUCAGCUAAGCUACUUUUAAACAUUUGGGUCUCAGGCCCCUAACAAAAGCAAAUUUGCCCAUCUGAUUUAUUUCAAAAGGGAGAGGGCCACAGGAAUGAUCUGUUUGAGUGAGCUUGUUUUUAGGCAAGGAGGAACGUGAAGACAGGCUGGAUAAGGAUGGUUAAGAGGCCAGAAGAGCUCAUGUUUACAACUCAUCACAAAUUACAGUACUGCAAAUCAAUGACUUAACAGAAACAAUGGGAAAAGAUGCACAGAUGGCUCUCAAAACAUGAAAAGAUGCUUCAUUUCUCUCACAAUGAGAAAUACAAAUUAAAACUACAAUGAGAUACCAUUAUCAGCCAAGAAAAUUAAUCAAAUAAUAUGUGUUGGCGGAAGUGUUGGGAAGCAGGUAUGCUUAUACAUUGCUGGUGGGAGAGCAAAUGGUAAACCUCCACAGGAUGACAACUGCCCUCAGGAUGACAAAGGCACAUAUACUUUGUCUCAGCAAUUCUUUUAGGAAUUCAUCCUCACACACCUGCGGGAAGAGGUUUGUACACUGCACUAGUUUGUGACAGCAAACGGCUGGAAUCACCCUAAAUGCCCAUCACCUUGGAGCUGAGGCAACACUGUUCCAUCUACAGAAAGAAAUAUCAGCAAUCAUUAAAAAAAUGGGAAAAGUUCUCAUUAUGUCCAGUAAUGAACACACAAAGUGAAACAAGCAGAGAGAGGCACCACUGCCAUCUGUGCUGGUGCUGCACAGACUACUCAGGAGGGAGACCAGGGAACCUGGAUGGAGGGACAUGGACUUGUCACAGAGACCCACAAAACCAUAAUGCCACUUUACACUGAGCAACAUUUCCCAAACAGAAAUUCAUUCUUAAAAUAACAGGUGAUUGAUGAUUUUAAAAAGUAAAACAAAACUGCAGAAGCACAACCAACUGCAACAACUUUCCGACUUUGGGAUGACAGGUAAAGAAAUCAAUGUAGUGGGUGAUGACCUAUGUUUUUAAAAGUACAAUAAAAUAGAAUAUGUCAGAAUGUAUCUGACAUAAAAAGGAUAAAGUCUUUUGAGGUAAUUUUGUCUCUCAGAUGUGUAUGCAAAAGUGAACUGGGUUUCAAUAUAAAAGCUACUUCUGGCCAGGCGCGGUGGCUCACGCCUGUAAUCCCAGCACUUU
RNAcentral lists this long non-coding RNA (5414 nucleotides) under Homo sapiens (human). RNAcentral describes it as "HSALNT0162151". Lineage: Eukaryota; Metazoa; Chordata; Mammalia; Primates; Hominidae. The record is from RNAcentral.